GAUGAACGCUAGCGGCAGGCUUAAUACAUGCAAGUCGAGGGGCAACAGGGGUAGCAAUACCUGCUGGCGACCGGCAAACGGGUGCGGAACACGUACAGAACCUUCCUUUAAGCGGGGAGUAGCCACUAGAAAUAGUGGAUUAAUACCCACUAGUAAUAGUUUAAUUGGCAUCAUUAGUAUAUUUAAAGUAAUUUAUUCACUUAAAGUAAUGG
This 212-nucleotide ribosomal RNA is filed under the name uncultured bacterium. Its description in RNAcentral is "partial 16S ribosomal RNA". It matches the Rfam family "Bacterial small subunit ribosomal RNA", at positions 28 to 228 of the family's 1533-position model. The record is from RNAcentral.